Molecule: ribosomal RNA, 825 nt
Filed under: uncultured bacterium
Lineage: Bacteria
Description: bacterial SSU rRNA
Rfam family: Bacterial small subunit ribosomal RNA
Source: RNAcentral
UGAACUGNCAAGCUAGAGUGUGUCAGAGGGGGGUAGAAUUCCACGUGUAGCAGUGAAAUGCGUAGAGAUGUGGAGGAAUACCGAUGGCGAAGGCAGCCCCCUGGGAUAACACUGACGUUCAUGCUCGAAAGCGUGGGUAGCAAACAGGAUUAGAUACCCUGGUAGUCCACGCCCUAAACGAUGUCAAUUAGCUGUUGGGCAACUUGAUUGCUUAGUAGCGUAGCUAACGCGUGAAAUUGACCGCCUGGGGAGUACGGUCGCAAGAUUAAAACUCAAAGGAAUUGACGGGGACCCGCACAAGCGGUGGAUGAUGUGGAUUAAUUCGAUGCAACGCGAAGAACCUUACCUGGUCUUGACAUGUACGGAAUCUCUCAGAGACGGGAGAGUGCCUUCGGGAACCGUAACACAGGUGCUGCAUGGCUGUCGUCAGCUCGUGUCGUGAGAUGUUGGGUUAAGUCCCGCAACGAGCGCAACCCUUAUCAUUAGUUGCCAUCAUUUGGUUGGGCACUCUAAUGAGACUGCCGGUGACAAACCGGAGGAAGGUGGGGAUGACGUCAAGUCCUCAUGGCCCUUAUGACCAGGGCUUCACACGUCAUACAAUGGUCGGUACAGAGGGUCGCCAAGCCGCGAGGUGGAGCCAAUCUCACAAAACCGAUCGUAGUCCGGAUUGCACUCUGCAACUCGAGUGCAUGAAGUCGGAAUCGCUAGUAAUCGCAGGUCAGCAUACUGCGGUGAAUACGUUCCCGGGUCUUGUACACACCGCCCGUCGCACCAUGGGAGUGGGGGAUACCAGAAGUAGGUAGGAUAACCGCAAGGAGUCCGCUU